Long non-coding RNA from Quercus lobata, 1935 nucleotides. RefSeq lists it as uncharacterized. The record is from RefSeq and is a predicted model, not a curated record. Lineage: Eukaryota; Viridiplantae; Streptophyta; Magnoliopsida; Fagales; Fagaceae. The transcript is spliced from 5 exons.
CGCGUUAUUUGGUAAAUUAGGUUGGCAUGGGGUGCCCAGUAUCCCUUAGCCCCCAUGUUCUUAGGCCAUGUUUACUCCCAAUUAGACUUGCUUCAUGAAGAUGAAGAUUAAGGCAAUUCUUGCUAUGCUAUUACUUCGUCCCUUCAUUGUGCCAUUUUCCAGGUGUUCAUAUGGGACUGUUCUUUUGUUACUUUGUCGAAAUGUAGGAGUCUAAAUUUUGUAAAGGAUAAGUUCAAAUGAUCCCCAGAUGUGAUUAAGGGUCUAUUGGCAGUUCUAUUGAUAGCCAUCCCAUCAUCUUUCGCUGGGCCAACUUGAAAUGUGGUUGCCUGAAUUUGGUGGAGUUGUUUGAUCAAGCAGGGCACUUGAGUUGGCACUCUCCCUAGGAGUUCAGUCAUGGGUUCGUCUGCGAUUUUGUGUUGGCCUCUUUUCUUAACUUUCCAGGGAAUACCUUUGAUCUGAGUUGCGAGGACGAAGGCAGUUUGGCAUACUUGGCUUGCAUCAGUCCCUCAUUGCUUUCAGUGCCUUCAUCAAGUGGUCCCAGUCCAAGUGCAAGUCAGACCUUAAGAGAGCUAUGAGUCACUCUUCCGUUGAUGAUGUGGUCGAGGUGCCUCCUCUUGUGACUAGUGGUGUUAUGGUGAAAAAAGUGGUGACAGCUCCAUCUGCUGCUACCUUAGGUGUGGAGGAGGAGGUCGGGCAGGUAGCGAAGGAUGCCCAACCCGUUCUGCCUCUUGUUCUCUUGGCUGUUCAGGACCCUAAAGCUCUCCAGCCUUCUAUUCCCUAGGAUCCCAAGCCCGUGUAGACUCCCGGUCCUACUAAAACUGUGACACUUGAGCCCAUAAUUGAGCCUGCAUUGGGCAAAGAGUCCUUGAGGGUGUGUCCUUUUCUACACAAGCAGGUCAAACUAAUGCCCAAUAUGUUCCUAAGGCUGCCCCUUCUUUGGAGUCAGAGGAUUCUAAAGAAUCCUCCGGGAAGUCAGAGGGCCAAGAGGAGGAGGCUCUGCCAUAAGGAGCUGAUACUAGUUCUUUAGCUUUCUCUUAAUUUCCCAACUUUAUAUAUUUUCUUUUCUUCUUUCCCCCUUUUGACUUUGUCUACUUUUACAAGUGCUGACUCAGGUGCUAAGGAUCUUGAGCCUGUAGUUACUGAGGUAGUUGCGGAAUCUACUUCUAAUGUCUAGGUUGUUGAAGCUCAGCUAGGGAUCCCCCAAACCAUCCAGAGGGUCGAAAGUUCUCUAAUUCCUAAGAGUGGAGACAUAACAAUGGAGGAGGUUUCAGGGGUGACUGUCUCAGAUCCUAGCUCAGGGCUCCCUGCUUUCUUGUCCCACUUUGAUUCCUUGGAGUUCAACAGCCUCCUGCGAGCCAUUUUCAUAGAUUUAAGCCUUUUUUCGGCAACUUCCUAAGAUUCUCUGUGCCUGUUGAGGGUCUACCACUGUUGGAGGGGCUGUUCAAAACCCAUGGGGACUUCACCAGUGGGUUCAAGGGAGGUGUAUUUCUGGGCAACAUCCUGAAAGAUCUUUUAUGUGUUGUGCUGAUCUCUUUGAGGGAUUCCUCUCUUAACUCCUUAUCCGAGGAGAGGCUUUUAGAAUGGAGGGGAGUAGGGCAGGAUCUCAUAGAAGCCAAGUUUAAUCUAUCCUUUUUUCUAGAGUAUUUGCAUUCCUUAGCCCAUAUGCCAUUCCAGAGACAGGCCUCCAAGAAUCUUGAUGCUGAAAUUGCUGCUGUUGAAGAGGUUUUAGCUUGAGCUCACAAGGCAUUGCAAGACUUGAAAGUUAAAGGCAGCGGGUUCUUUCUUCCUCUACUGUUCCUGCCAUUUCCCCAGAAAGCUCUUUGCUAGCUGGCCUUAAACCUUAGCUCCUUACUUUUUUUUUUUCUUUAAUAAUUCAGAUGUAUAAGUUUUUUUUUUUUUUUUUUAGUCAAUUGAGGUUGUAUAGGUUUAUCUUUA